CAUGCUGAAAACAUAAAUAUAGCCGAGAUAUCCCCAGGGGAGCUGCAAACGGGCGGCUUUCGGGGGUAGAACCCGUCAGUCGAGCCUCCUCCUCGCACAAUGGACUCCGACUCCGGCUCCGGUUGCUAGUGGAAUUCAAAGGACAAAGGGGCCAAGGCACACACAGCUUAUGACAGGCACACUGACACAAUGCCCCAUAGAAAUGUUCUGAGGGGAAACCCCCGAAAACGAAGUUCGAACUUCAAAUGCCCUGCAGGAAUAAGAGAAAUCAUCAGUAUCCAUAAAAACUUUUCAAUAUCUGUGAGUUGAAUGUUAAAGUCCUGUUUAAAGCAGCGUCAGCAGGAACAACAAAAAAGCGAAAGGAUGCCAAGGAGUGCGAGCGAGAGAUGUAGAGCACUUGGCAGCAUGUUCAUGUUGCUGCUGUUGUCAUGUAGCGACAGCGUUCUCCCCUCUCUGUCGCUCUCACGCCGCUGCAGUAGCCGAAAAGUUGCCUUAUCACUUGGGCGCAUUUACAUAAAAAAACCACAAAUAAAAGUUGCAAACUAACGCAGUACCAAGGAGCAGAAGAA
Molecule: long non-coding RNA, 569 nt
Organism: Drosophila gunungcola (fruit fly)
Lineage: Eukaryota; Metazoa; Arthropoda; Insecta; Diptera; Drosophilidae
Exons: 3
Source: RefSeq, a predicted model, not a curated record